Long non-coding RNA from Musa acuminata AAA Group (dessert banana), 1005 nucleotides. RefSeq lists it as uncharacterized. Lineage: Eukaryota; Viridiplantae; Streptophyta; Magnoliopsida; Zingiberales; Musaceae. The record is from RefSeq and is a predicted model, not a curated record. The transcript has 2 exons.
GACGCAGGCCGCCUAAUACCACUGCCGGAUGCAGGAGAUCUCGUGUGAUGGCUUAGUUCUUGGUGGGUUUGGAUGUGGAGCGGUGAAGGAGAAUUGGGGUCAUGGAGUUUGGUUGACAGAAGAGAGUGAGCACCCAUGGUGUUUUCCUGCAUGAAGAGGGUUCAUGCUCGAAGCUAUGCGUGCUCACUUCUCUAUCUGUCAACCAUCACCGGGUUAUGGUGUUUCUCUGCCCUUCUUCUUGCGAAAGAUGCAGCUGUCAAUUUGCGUUGUCUCUGUUAGGCCUCGCCUCGUGCAUGGCGAUCGAGUAACAGUAGCAUGCACAUAUAAUACGAUUAACAGCACGUUAAUUAGGACCGUCAUACUGAUAAGAUUUUGUCUCUUUGUUUUCUCUUUCGUAUGCUCGUCAUCAGAUCUUUCAUUUCGCCUGUUCGUCAUGCUGUGUGCUUACUUUUGCUUCUUUUUGCAAGAUGAAUCCGGCUGUUUCUUGAGAUGAAGAAUUCCCUGCUGCUAUAUCUGGACGAGCUAUCGAGUUGCAGAUGCGUUAGAACGUCUUUCUUUCUUCCUUCUCCGUGAUUCGUUUUCUCUGUGCGCAAUGAAACGUGCGUGGCGAGCACUACAAAGAAAGAUCAGCAAAAACGUGAUGGAUCAUAAAUUCUCCUCUUCUCUUCCAUUCGAUUUCCAAGCGAAUGAUGGGGAAGAAACUAUCAGAUUCACUACAUAAAGGACGAGAAAGAAUGCAGCGGCGAACCGAUGAGAGAUGCGCGGUUAGAAUUGAUGACACCGAAGAAGCAAAAGAAGAGGAGGGCAAAAAGCAAUGAUGGGAGGAUCUCAUUUCCAGGUCAAAUCAUCACUACAGUUGUAUACUGCACACUUUCUUCGUAUCCUUGUGGAGAUGCUUAUCCCUUUCUUUGUGAUACAACUCAGUCAAUAGUGUGCUUUUCCUCAGUUCUCAUCAAACAUUUAUGAUGUUUUCUAAAAUAUAAUGACCUUUUUUUCUGCUUUUAA